GAGUGGCAAGGUGUGGCGCUUGCGCGCGGCUCGCGGGAGGGCGCUAGCGUCGCCGCCGCGGCAGUACCGUGCGCGUCGCCUACUGAGACCUACCUGCUGCUCGUUGUUCGCUCACCUGGCUCAUUGAUCGCGGACGAUCUCAUUAGAAAACAUCGUGCAGUCAUGAUUUGUUACACCGACGAGACAAUCACAGUGUUUCAAUAGGUGUUUAAGUGAUGAUUUACGGUUAAAUGUCCGUUCGGAUGUCCAGCGCGGUAGUAAACAACCGGUCCAGAUAGGAGGCUGCGUCUGCCUCACGCCCGGCUGUAGUGGAAUGCGGCAAUUUUAACAACUGCGGACCUCGGGACCCAUAUACGAAUUGGGAUUGUCCGGUUGCUUCUUAGAAAAAAGGUGAUGCACCGAGGAUGAGUCGCCGCGCGCGGCCGUGACAUGGGAGCGCAGGCAUGGGCUGGCGCGCCGAGCAAACGCCGCACAUCGCCGCCGGCCUGCUCCUUCUGCUGCUAGUCUACCUGCCGGUUACUUGCCACCAAGACCACCAAGAUGCUGUGCACAUCACAGCCAUCCUCGGCGAGAGCGUGGUGUUCAACUGCCAGGUGGAUUUCCCCGAAGACAUACCCGUGCCGUACGUGUUGCAGUGGGAGAAGAAGGUAGGCGAAACGGGACAGGAUAUACCGAUCUACAUCUGGUACGAGAGCUAUCCAACGCACAGCGGAGAAGGUUAUGAGGGCAGGGUGUCGCGGGUCGCUCCUGACUCGCCGUACGGCGCGGCUAGCCUCAACCUCACUAAUAUACGAGAGUCAGACCAGGGAUGGUACGAGUGUAAGGUGGUGUUCCUCAAUCGGUCACCGAAUCAACACAAGAACGGCACGUGGUUCCACUUGGAUGUGCACGCUCCACCUCGCUUCUCCAUCACGCCGGAAGAGAUUAUAUAUGUUAAUUUAGGAGAUGCCAUUAUACUCAACUGCCAAGCAGAAGGCACACCAACGCCAGAGAUUCUGUGGUACAAGGACGCGAAUCCCGUGGAGCCAUCUGGCACAGUUGGUAUCUUCAAUGAUGGAACCGAACUGCGCAUCAGCAACAUACGACACGAAGAUAUCGGAGACUACACGUGCAUCGCGCGCAACGGGGAGGGCCAAGUGUCGCACACCGCCCGCGUUAUCAUCGCUGGUGGAGCUGUCAUCACUAUGCCACCAACAAACCAAACAAAGCUGGAAGGAGAGAAAGUCCAAUUCUCAUGCGAAGCUAAGGCACUACCCGGAAAUGUUACGGUUAAAUGGUUUCGCGAAGGCGCCCCGGUUGCUGAGGUGGCGGCUUUGGAGACACGGGUUACAAUACGAAGAGAUGGCGCUUUAGUAAUCAACCCUGUCGCUGCUGACGAUUCGGGACAAUAUCUAUGUGAAGUGUCGAAUGGCAUCGGAGACCCGCAGAGCGCUUCAGCUUAUUUGAAUGUAGAAUAUCCAGCAAAAGUGACAUUUACACCGACGGUACAAUACCUACCAUUUCGAUUGGCGGGAGUAGUGCAGUGCUACAUAAAGGCGAACCCACCCCUGCAGUACGUCACGUGGACGAAGGACAAAAGACUUCUAGAGCCAUAUCAAACCAAGGACAUUGUGAUCAUGAAUAACGGAUCCCUGCUAUUCACUAGAGUCAAUCAAAACCAUCAGGGGCGAUAUACCUGCACACCAUACAAUGCGCAGGGCACUCAGGGAUCUUCAGGACCUAUGGAAGUGCUUGUUAGAAAACCGCCAGUGUUCACUGUAGAACCGGAGCCAUUGUACCAAAGAAAGGUCGGCGAAUCAGUGGAGAUGCAUUGCGAAGCGCAAGAAGCGGAGGGCACGCAGCGGCCGACCGUGGUGUGGCGGCGGCGGGACGGGCUGCCGCUGCAGAAGAGCCGGGUGCGCGCGCUCGGCGGGAACAUUACCAUCGACACGCUGCGCCGACAGGACUUCGGCAUAUACCAGUGCGUCGCAUCCAAUGAGGUGGCAACGAUAGUAGCAGACACGCAGCUCGUGAUCGAGGGCACGCAACCGCACGCGCCGUACAACGUAUCAGGCACGGCCACGGAGUUCCAGGUGACGCUGCGCUGGCAGCCCGGCUACGCGGGCGGCCCGGACUACAAGCAGGACUACACCAUUUGGUAUAGAGAGGCCGGCUUCUCGGAGUGGACCAAAGUACCCGUCACGCCGUCUGGAGCGACUUCUGUCACAAUUAACAGGCUUCAACCAGGGACCACUUACGAAUUCCAAGUCAACAGUAAGAAUACAAUAGGAGAAGGAAUGAUGAGCAAAGCUAUUACAAUAAGGACUCUUGAUGUAGGCGCAAAACCAAAGGUGGCUCCGACGACUGCGGGACCCGUAGACGAAAAGAUCUUUCAGAAUGCUCCUGAAGGAUCGGGUCCAAAGUCGGGCCCUCCCCGUAAUCUCACCGUGACGGAAGUGCACAACGGUUUCCUGAUCACGUGGCAGGCACCGCUGGAGCGCUCCCACCUCGUGCAGUAUUACACUAUCAAAUACCGCACCGACGCUCAGUGGAAGACUCUCAAUAGGGGCCAGAUACGACCGGAGGAAACGAGUUAUCUGGUGAAAAACUUAGUUGGCGGACGCACAUAUUACUUCCGUGUGCUGGCGAACUCGGCGACUAGCUACGAGAGUUCGGAUGAAGUGAGAUUCUCCGUUCCAGCGCGCGUGAAGCACAAAGCGAUAACGGCCGGCGUCGUCGGCGGAAUAUUGUUUUUUAUUGUCGCCAUCAUUCUGUCCGUGUGCGCUGUAAAGAUUUGCAAUAAACGUAAACGACGCAAACAGGAGAAAGAAAUUAUUCGGUUGCAGCAUACAACAUGGUAGCCGCGCGACUCACUGACCUUCGCGCCGCAGACAGCACUCAAGUGCCUUUUAAAAAAUUUAGAGAAAGCGGAAUAUCGAGUGUAGUUCAAUGUUUGCAAUUCACUGCGAACUGGAUCUGGCCGGCAUCGCGGUGUGGCGACGAGGCGCGGUACUGGGGAGUGAUCCGGCGGGUGUCGCCUGCGCCCUCCGCGU
Molecule: unclassified non-coding RNA, 3032 nt
Filed under: Zerene cesonia (dogface butterfly)
Lineage: Eukaryota; Metazoa; Arthropoda; Insecta; Lepidoptera; Pieridae
Description: protein turtle, transcript variant X2
Source: RNAcentral